Unclassified non-coding RNA from Callithrix jacchus (white-tufted-ear marmoset), 306 nucleotides. It matches the Rfam family "Metazoan signal recognition particle RNA". Rfam says of the family: The signal recognition particle (SRP) is a universally conserved ribonucleoprotein. It is involved in the co-translational targeting of proteins to membranes. The record is from Ensembl. Lineage: Eukaryota; Metazoa; Chordata; Mammalia; Primates; Cebidae.
GCCAGGUAUGGUGGCACGUGCCUGUAGUCCCAGCUACUCGGGAGGCUGAGGUAGGAGGAUCGCUUGAGCCCAGGAGUUCUGGGCUGUAGUGCGCUAUGCUGAUCAGGUGUCCGCACUAAGGUCAUCAUCAAUAUGGUGACCUCCCAGGAGCAGGGGACCACCAGGUUGCCUAAGGAGGGGUGAAGCAGUCCAGGUGGGAAACAGAGCAGAUCAAAACUCCCGUGCUGAUCAGUAUGCAGUAUGGGAUCAUGCCUGUGAAUAGCCACUAUACUCCAGCCUAGGGAACACAGUGAGACCCCAUCUCUA